RNAcentral lists this ribosomal RNA (497 nucleotides) under uncultured bacterium. Its description in RNAcentral is "partial 16S ribosomal RNA". It matches the Rfam family "Bacterial small subunit ribosomal RNA", at positions 28 to 507 of the family's 1533-position model. The record is from RNAcentral.
GAUGAACGCUGGCGGCGUGCCUAAUACAUGCAAGUCGAGCGAACAGACGAGGAACUUGCUCCUUCGACGUUAGCGGCGGACGGGUGAGUAACACGUAGGUAACCUACCUAUAAGACUGGGAUAACUUCGGGAAACCGGAGCUAAUACCGGAUAAUAUUUCGAACCGCAUGGUUCGAUAGUGAAAGAUGGCUUUGCUAUCACUUAUAGAUGGACCUGCGCCGUAUUAGCUAGUUGGUAAGGUAACGGCUUACCAAGGCAACGAUACGUAGCCGACCUGAGAGGGUGAUCGGCCACACUGGAACUGAGACACGGUCCAGACUCCUACGGGAGGCAGCAGUAGGGAAUCUUCCGCAAUGGGCGAAAGCCUGACGGAGCAACGCCGCGUGAGUGAUGAAGGUCUUCGGAUCGUAAAACUCUGUUAUUAGGGAAGAACAAACGUGUAAGUAACUGUGCACGUCUUGACGGUACCUAAUCAGAAAGCCACGGCUAACUACGUG